GGAUAACUUACCCUUAGGACUGGGAUAACUCUGGGAAACUGGGGAUAAUACUGGAUAUUAGGCUAUGCCUGGAAUGGUUUGCCUUUGAAAUGUUUUUUUUCGCCUAAGGAUAGGUCUGCGGCUGAUUAGGUCGUUGGUGGGGUAAUGGCCCACCAAGCCGACGAUCGGUACGGGUUGUGAGAGCAAGGGCCCGGAGAUGGAACCUGAGACAAGGUUCCAGACCCUACGGGGUGCAGCAGGCGCGAAACCUCCGCAAUGUACGAAAGUGCGACGGGGGGAUCCCAAGUGUUAUGCUUUUUUGUAUGACUUUUCAUUAGUGUAAAAAGCUUUUAGAAUAAGAGUUGGGCAAGACCGGUGCCAGCCGCCGCGGUAACACCGGCAGCUCGAGUGGUAGCUGUUUUUAUUGGGCCUAAAGCGUUCGUAGCCGGUUUGAUAAGUCUUUGGUGAAAGCUUGUAGCUUAACUAUAAGAAUUGCUGGAGAUACUAUUAGACUUGAAGUCGGGAGAGGUUAGAGGUACUACCGGGGUAGGGGUGAAAUCCUAUAAUCCUGGGAGGACCACCUGUGGCGAAGGCGUCUAACUGGAACGAUCUUGACGGUGAGUAACGAAAGCCAGGGGCGCGAACCGGAUUAGAUACCCGGGUAGUCCUGGCCGUAAACGAUGUGGACUUGGUGUUGGAAUGGCUUUGAGUUGU
This 693-nucleotide ribosomal RNA is filed under the name uncultured archaeon. RNAcentral describes it as "bacterial SSU rRNA". It matches the Rfam family "Archaeal small subunit ribosomal RNA", at positions 102 to 793 of the family's 1478-position model. The record is from RNAcentral.